UGGGUUGUAUUUAAUUAUAAUAUCUGAUUUGCAUUCAGAAGGUACUCCAUAGUCUUCCUAA
This 61-nucleotide transfer RNA is filed under the name Empoascanara plamka. RNAcentral's name for it is "tRNA-Ala". The record is from RNAcentral. Lineage: Eukaryota; Metazoa; Arthropoda; Insecta; Hemiptera; Cicadellidae.